UGGUAUCUCAAUUUGUUUAUCUGCAAUCUCCUUUUACAACUCAUUCUGUUGUUUUAUCAUCUCAUCUUUGAGCUCUUGUUUUAUUACAUUUAUAUUUCUACUAAUUUAUUCUCUACAGGAAAACAUUCAUGAGGAAGCCACUUUUAUCACCCAAUUUAUGUUUCUUCUAGAUUGGGUUCUGGACUUUUCCAUACCAUGCCUGACUUUUCCAUAUCAUGCCUGACUUUUUGACUAAUUGAUUUUCCUGUAGUAUGUCUGCCUAGUUGCUCUGUCAUUUCUUUUCAUCUUGCUUAUGCUUAAUAUAAACAUUUCUGUCUCUGACAGUCUUCUCUCCCCUAUACAUUCACCUUCCCCUACUUUGAACUUCAUUCUGAGGCCUGGAUGUUGUCAGUCUAGCCAUUUUUCUGUAGCCUGAGAGAAGCCAGAGCUCAGCCAGGAAUUAGUUUUGCUCUUGUUGAGGAAUCUGUGCUCCAAGAGCACAGUGCCUUGUGUCUAGGAGACCACUAAAUGCCUAGGACCAGGGCCCACUGCCUACAGCCACAAGAGUGACCGACCCACCCCAUGGGCUUUGGCUCAUCCUCCAUCCAAGC
Molecule: long non-coding RNA, 590 nt
Organism: Sapajus apella (tufted capuchin)
Lineage: Eukaryota; Metazoa; Chordata; Mammalia; Primates; Cebidae
Exons: 3
Source: RefSeq, a predicted model, not a curated record